UUUUAAUGACAUUUCCUGGUGUUCGAUCGAGUCAAAAAACUUCGAAUACUCGAAAUAGCUUUUAAUUGAAAAGGAGAUUAGUCUGCCUGGUAGCCUCGUCGCCUCAGAAGACCAUGUCUAGGGGGAACAACUGAAGGGGUCCGGUGAAGAGCUCCAACUUGCACACACCACGGCUCGUUUGUCAUGACGCACAGCAAUUUUACAAUAUUCGAUUCAAUUCCUUUAAACUGGAAUAUUUUCUCAGUAGAGCUGCUUUUAACCUCUUAGUUGCGCC
Zophobas morio is the source of this 274-nucleotide long non-coding RNA. RefSeq lists it as uncharacterized. The transcript is spliced from 3 exons. The record is from RefSeq and is a predicted model, not a curated record. Lineage: Eukaryota; Metazoa; Arthropoda; Insecta; Coleoptera; Tenebrionidae.